AAUAGAUACCCUGGUAGUCCACGCUGUAAACGUUGGACACUAGGUGUGGCGGUCUGAUCAACGACUGCCGUGCCGAAGCUAACGCAUUAAGUGUCCCGCCUGGGGAGUACGGCCGCAAGGCUAAAACUCAAAGGAAUUGACGGGUCCCCGCACAAGCGGCGGAGCAUGCGGCUUAAUUCGAUGCAACCCGAAGAACCUUACCUGGGUUUGACAUCAUGGGAAAAGCCGUGGAAACACGGUGUCCGAAAGGGCCCAUGACAGGUGGUGCAUGGCUGUCGUCAGCUCGUGUCGUGAGAUGUUGGGUUAAGUCCCGCAACGAGCGCAACCCUUGUCCUAUGUUGCCAGCGGUUCGGCCGGGGACUCAUAGGAGACUGCCGGGGAUAACUCGGAGGAAGGUGAGGACGAUGUCAAGUCAUCAUGCCCCUUAUAUCCAGGGCUGCACGCAUGCUACAAUGGUCGGUACAACGGGCAGCGAUCCUGCGAAGGUGAGCGAAUCCCACAAGCCGGCCUCAGUUCGGAUUGGAGU
RNAcentral lists this ribosomal RNA (526 nucleotides) under uncultured bacterium. RNAcentral describes it as "bacterial SSU rRNA". It matches the Rfam family "Bacterial small subunit ribosomal RNA", at positions 777 to 1304 of the family's 1533-position model. The record is from RNAcentral.